Molecule: ribosomal RNA, 253 nt
Filed under: uncultured bacterium
Lineage: Bacteria
Description: partial 16S ribosomal RNA
Rfam family: Bacterial small subunit ribosomal RNA
Source: RNAcentral
CACGUAGGGGGCAAGCGUUGUCCGGAUUUAUUGGGCGUAAAGAGCUCGUAGGCGGUUUCGUAAGUCGGGUGUGAAAACUCGAGGCUCAACCUCGAGACGUCGAUGGAAACCAUCUGGCUAGAGUCCGGAAGAGGAGAGUGGAAUUCCUGGUGUAGCGGUGAAAUGCGCAGAUAUCAGGAAGAACACCCGUGGCGAAGGCGGCUCUCUGGUACGUGACUGACGCUGAGACGCGAAAGCGUGGGGAGCAAACAGG